RNAcentral lists this long non-coding RNA (209 nucleotides) under Elaeis guineensis (African oil palm). RNAcentral describes it as "long non-coding RNA (EGUI_LNC010550)". The record is from RNAcentral. Lineage: Eukaryota; Viridiplantae; Streptophyta; Magnoliopsida; Arecales; Arecaceae.
UGGGCAUAUCGAAUAACCGAUAGGAGAAUCUUCAUUCAACUUAGCCUAUGAAAUUGAGGUGAUAAUUCCACUUGAGAUUGGAUUACCAUCAGUAAGAGUUGAACAAUAUAAUGAGCCGAGUAAUUCUGAAUGUUGGAGAGUCGACUUAGACUUACUCCCGAAAGUCCAACAGCAAGCUCAAGUUCGGAUGGUAGCUUAUCGACAGAGAG